RNAcentral lists this ribosomal RNA (890 nucleotides) under uncultured bacterium. RNAcentral's name for it is "bacterial SSU rRNA". It matches the Rfam family "Bacterial small subunit ribosomal RNA", at positions 8 to 853 of the family's 1533-position model. The record is from RNAcentral.
AGAGUUUGAUCAUUGCUCAGGAUGAACGCCGGCGGUGUGCCUAAUACAUGCAAGUCGUACGCACUGGCCCAACUGAUUGAUGGUGCUUGCACCUGAUUGACGAUGGAUCACCAGUGAGUGGCGGACGGGUGAGUAACACGUAGGUAACCUGCCCCGGAGCGGGGGAUAACAUUUGGAAACAGAUGCUAAUACCGCAUAACAACAAAAGCCACAUGGCUUUUGUUUGAAAGAUGGCUUUGGCUAUCACUCUGGGAUGGACCUGCGGUGCAUUAGCUAGUUGGUAAGGUAACGGCUUACCAAGGCGAUGAUGCAUAGCCGAGUUGAGAGACUGAUCGGCCACAAUGGAACUGAGACACGGUCCAUACUCCUACGGGAGGCAGCAGUAGGGAAUCUUCCACAAUGGGCGCAAGCCUGAUGGAGCAACACCGCGUGAGUGAAGAAGGGUUUCGGCUCGUAAAGCUCUGUUGUUGGAGAAGAACGUGCGUGAGAGUAACUGUUCACGCAGUGACGGUAUCCAACCAGAAAGUCACGGCUAACUACGUGCCAGCAGCCGCGGUAAUACGUAGGUGGCAAGCGUUAUCCGGAUUUAUUGGGCGUAAAGCGAGCGCAGGCGGUUGCUUAGGUCUGAUGUGAAAGCCUUCGGCUUAACCGAAGAAGUGCAUCGGAAACCGGGCAACUUGAGUGCAGAAGAGGACAGUGGAACUCCAUGUGUAGCGGUGGAAUGCGUAGAUAUAUGGAAGAACACCAGUGGCGAAGGCGGCUGUCUGGUCUGCAACUGACGCUGAGGCUCGAAAGCAUGGGUAGCGAACAGGAUUAGAUACCCUGGUAGUCCAUGCCGUAAACGAUGAGUGCUAGGUGUUGGAGGGUUUCCGCCCUUCAGUGCCGGAGCU